RNAcentral lists this ribosomal RNA (253 nucleotides) under uncultured bacterium. RNAcentral's name for it is "partial 16S ribosomal RNA". It matches the Rfam family "Bacterial small subunit ribosomal RNA", at positions 524 to 776 of the family's 1533-position model. The record is from RNAcentral.
UACGAAGGGGGCUAGCGUUGCUCGGAAUCACUGGGCGUAAAGCGCACGUAGGCGGCUUUGUAAGUUAGAGGUGAAAGCCCGGGGCUCAACCCCGGAAUAGCCUUUAAGACUGCAUCGCUUGAAUCCGGGAGAGGUGAGUGGAAUUCCGAGUGUAGAGGUGAAAUUCGUAGAUAUUCGGAAGAACACCAGUGGCGAAGGCGGCUCACUGGACCGGUAUUGACGCUGAGGUGCGAAAGCGUGGGGAGCAAACAGG